GACAAGUGGAGAGUGAACAAGAGCACCGGGCCUCCUGGGUCGCGAUGAGCUGGUGGCCCAGGAGAGGAAGGAGGCCGACUGGGAUGGAGCAGCUGUCCAGGUGGAAGCCCACAGUGGAGCCUGGACCAUGAGAGAUUGGCACACACCAGAAGGUGGGCACCGGAUGGUGGAGUUUAAUUUGCAAUGACCCAAGCCUGGAAACAGCUCAGCUGUCUUUCACGUGGAGGUGGAUAAUUGAGGUACCAGAGGUCUGUAGGGGCAUCUUGGGAUAGGAUGUUACUCUUCCUGCCGCACUGCAGUUGGUGGAAAUGGAGAAGGCUGAGGGAGGAAGAGUUCAGUUUGGAGUAGAGAGAGUGUGGUGUCCUUGCUGGACAAGCCUCCGGAGCCAACAGCACCCUGGGGGCAGCAGGUCUCUACUUCUCCACUGUUCUGGAUACAGAUUCCCAGCCCUGUGACUGUGGGUAGACCGUGUCUCUGAGGACUCCAAGUACAUGGAGGUACUGUUGGAGUUCUGACUCUGAGGGGCACGAAGUGGGUGGCCUGCCACCUCUGUUCCUGUGUAGACCACACACAAAGCUGAGGGUCUUUGUCUCCCUGGCUAAGAGGCACAUGAAGAGCGUGGGCGAAGUGUGAGAGUCAUCACCUCUCCAACAAAGGACGCAUCUAUUGAAGGAGCUUUCAGAAACAAGGACCUGGAGUCCGGCGUGGUGGCGCAUGCCUUUAAUCCCAGCACUCCUGAGGCAGAGGCAGAUGGAUCUCUGUGAGUUCCAGGCCAGCCUGGUCUACAUAAAACGGCUUUUGCUGUCCCUGCUGUAGAGAUGGUCAUGUAAGGCUGGCCUCGGCUUGUCCACCCCACCUCUGGCUCUUCUCCUGGAUGACCACCCCAUGUGCCUCAGACUUGGAUCCCCUGCUGGCCAGAGCCUCUUCAGAAGUGACCCCAGCCCAUAGGCUCUGCUCUCUGGCUUCCAGCUUGGAUUCUGCCUGCAUGGGUGGUCCCUCCUGCCUCAGAGGCCUGGCUUGUCAGAUUCUUCCCUUGCAGAGACAGACCACUGUGGCUGUCCACUAAGGAUGUGUCGGAGUGCAGAGAGGUCCAGUCACCCUGGCCCUGCCAGUUUGAUGGUUGAUACUGAUUAUUGGCUUGACGGGAUCUAGACUCACCUUGAAGACAAGCCCCUGGCCAUGUCUAUGAGGGCUUCUAGAUCCAGUUAACUGAGGUGGGAAGACCCACCCUGAACGUGGGGGGCACCACCCCAGGAGCUGGGGUCCCAGACUGAAUAAAAAGGGGAAAGUGAGUUGGGCACCUCUCUCUGCUUCUUGACCAUGGAUGCAACACGAUCAGCCGCCUCACGUUCCUGCCGUCAUGCCUCCCCAUGCUGGACUGUGUUC
This is a long non-coding RNA of Nannospalax galili (Upper Galilee mountains blind mole rat), 1386 nucleotides long. RefSeq lists it as uncharacterized. Lineage: Eukaryota; Metazoa; Chordata; Mammalia; Rodentia; Spalacidae. The transcript has 6 exons. The record is from RefSeq and is a predicted model, not a curated record.